Non-coding RNA from Ictidomys tridecemlineatus (thirteen-lined ground squirrel), 2546 nucleotides. The record is from RefSeq and is a predicted model, not a curated record. Lineage: Eukaryota; Metazoa; Chordata; Mammalia; Rodentia; Sciuridae.
CGCUCGGUGCGCAGGCGCAGCGGGUCUCCGUCGGGUUGCGGCAGUUUAGAAACUGGAAAGGUGACCUCGUGGGUAGCCAGGGCCUGCGGUUUUUCUAGGCCAAGGUUGGGGCCUAGGGGAAAAGAUGGCUUGGAGGAGCCUGACUUGCUAACACUCCUUUCUCUGCCAUUGAGUAGCGCCUUCUGUUUACCUUUGCCAACUCUUAACCCUGUACUCCCGCCUCCAUUGCAAAUCUGUUACAGAAAACGGAUAUUUUGUGUAUAGCGGAAUCUGUGACCGAAAGGGGCAGGUCCUGUCGUUGGUGCUAUGGUUUGAAUAUGGUUGGUCCCCACGACAGCUUGCGGUGAGGCUGUCCCAGUGUGUUGGGAGUGGAAAUAUUUUAAGAGGCCCUCAAGAGGGGAUUGAUGCCAUCUGCGGCAGUGAGUUUGUUCUAGCUCAGAUGGGACCCAAUUAGCUACCCAGGGCGCAGGUAAGGGGGUUGCCGCUGGUGUUGGGCAGCUCCUAUGGGGCUAUUUCACUUUCUGCCGAGUUGGGGGUUGAAGCAGCAUGCAGCCCUCCCAGAAGCUGCGCAGAUGCGGGUGCCAUGCUCUUGCACUUUCGUUACGGUUUGGAUCAGACCUGUCUCCCAGAGGCUCAUGUACUGAAGGCAUGAUCCCCAGUGCAGCAGUGUCCAGAGUUGACAUCUUUACUCCACCACGUCCUAAUGCCAUGAUGUUCUGCCUCACCUCAGGCCCACAGCAAUGGAGCCUGCUCCCCACCGACUGAACCCUCUGAAACCCUCAGGGAGUCUCAUUCAUCUCUAAACUCCUGUUUAGAGGAGUUGAGGCAGUAACCCAAGUAGAAACAUUGCCCAAUGGAAUUGGUGAAUGGAAGCAUCUCAUCUCAGAGCACCGCAGAUUCCUCAUCUGCAAAUGGAGCAGCUUGGCAAGAACAAAACCAUCUCCAAGGUACCUUCCAGGUUUGACUUCCUAAAACAUCACAGGUGCAAAGUGUUUUCUUUUAAAUUGAGAGAUAAAAUUGUACAUAUGUUCAUGUGUAACAAUGUUUAAAAGUAUAGGCACAUUGUGGAAUGACUAAAUCGAGCCAAUUACCAUAUGCAUUAUCUCACAUGCUUAUCCUUUCUGUAGUGAGAACAGACACUUAAGGUUCACUCAGUAUUUGUAUUAACUGUUGUCCCCAGGCUAUGCAGUAGAUUCUUGAACAUAUUCCACCUAUUUACCCGAAAUUGUGUAUCCUUUGACCGGCAGUCAAAGCAGUCACCAUCCAGCUGUGCAUGUUGAACAUGACAUUGGCAACUUGCCCUCUUCCUGUACCUUUAGUCUCUUCAAAUGUAAAUUGAAAAUAAGUGAUUAUAAGUAAAAGAAAAUAAAAAUCAAGUAAGCAUAAGGUUGUUUAUGAAGACAUGUCCACUUUUUAUUAUUUUUUCCUUAAGUAAUGAGGACUUUUAAAAGUUUGUUUUCUGCAAAACAUUAACUGUUAGUUUAAAAAUGUGUCUAUGUUGAGCUGUAAGUUUCCUAAGUGUUUGACUUCUCUGGUAUGGUUUGUUUGCCCUUUGCAAUGUUUGUUCUGUCUUCAGACUUCCAACAAGUCAAUACUAGAAUAACAAUAAAUGUAAAGUAACCUCCUGGUUCUGUUCAUUCAUCCCUUCAGACUCAGAACUCAUAAAUUAAUAAGUGAGUGUUCCUAUGUCAAUCCAGUCAGCAAGUGAUCAAUUUUGAACCUUGGCUUCUGAAUAAUACAUCUGGGGUAUUUAUCAAUUGAAUUUUUCACAUCCAGCCUAAUAUUUCAUGAGAAAGAAGGUUUAAUGAUUUCUAACUCUCUUUUCUAUUCCCACUGCCCCUGUCCAGGUCCUUGGCUUGAAAUUUGGCUUUAUUCUUACUAUUGACAGUGAUUUAAAUGACAUUUAUAUUGCAUAGAAAAUGCUCAAAUUAUCACUCCAAUAGGCAAGCAUAAGUCACUGAGAGUGAAAUGUCUUCCAUCUCAGUUGGCCAGCACAUCACCUCCAUGAAAGGUUUCAACAGGGAGAGGAACUCGCUCUCUUUAUACAAUGACUAUCUGGAUCUGCUGGGGAGCGCAGGCACCUCCUCACUCCUGGAUGUCAGAGGUUGGCUUUGUCUCUUUCUGCCUUAUCAAGGAGACAUUUUGAACCCCGCUGCACCCACGUUCUCAUGGAUGGUGGCCUUUGAUUCCUCUGGAUGCAGAAUCUGACUCUUGUACUUUUCCUGCCAGUCCUCCACGAUGUACUGGUGGUAGGGGUCCUGGGAGUGCUCGCGCCUCUUGGAUUUCACAGUGCUCACCAGGAUGGCGACGACGAUGAAGGAGAACAUCCCUAUCAUCACCAUGAGGUACAGGAUGACGUAGUAGAAGUUCUCAGCAUCCACCUUGGCCUGGAGUGCCGCCUGCGCCUCUGUGGUGUUCCUGCGCCAGUUGUUCAUGUAUGUGAUAAAAACCCUUCGGAAGACGUCUUCCAGCGUCUGGGUCAGAUUGAGUAACGAAGGCAUGCUUCCCUCCUGCUGUGAUUUAAACAAUAAAAUAGAUGAACGAGG